Long non-coding RNA from Platichthys flesus (European flounder), 745 nucleotides. RefSeq lists it as uncharacterized. The transcript is spliced from 3 exons. The record is from RefSeq and is a predicted model, not a curated record. Lineage: Eukaryota; Metazoa; Chordata; Actinopteri; Pleuronectiformes; Pleuronectidae.
AGGUGUAGCCCUGGACGAAGGACGAGAAGAAGGCAAACACGCUGUUGAUGGAGAGGGAGAUGAGGAGCGUCUGCCGUCGGCCGAUCCGGUCGGCGAGGCCUCCCCACACGAAAGCCCCGACCAUCAUCCCCAGGCCUGGAUAACAGCAGCGGGACAUUUCAUUUAGUGGAAAACACCAGAACCGUUCAGCGGUGGACAGUUUUUUGGCAGCGAAAAGGACGAGUCGGUUACCGGCCCAGCGAAGAUGGAUGAGGAGAAACCACUCUCUGAAUAAACUGGCUUUGAUGGAAUCCCAGCACACUCACAGCUCCAUUUGUUCUCCUGACAGCAGGAGCUACACACAGCUCCUUCACCCGAGCACCGGUGCUGCCAGCUGCAGAGAGAGGCGAGUUGUAACUUGUGACGGGGCGAAUCUCUGUGGACGGACCGGAGCACGGUCCAAUCAGCCGGAGUAACGGGCAGAAAAUGAGAACACCAAACAGAGCAGCUCCCCUCGCUCCUCCUCCUGCUGUUGAAGGGUUCAGCUGUGUGAACACUCCUUUAAAAAGGGACUUUUAGUCUCUAGGCCACUAAAUGUUUAAUAACACACUGUGUCUGUGACUGUUGUGUUGUGCUGAGCGGUGGCUCAUUUACGAAAUAAAAUCAUGACGAAUAAAUUAUCUUCCAAAUCCAGCCCUUAAAGAGCAUAGAUACAUGAUCCACAGAUACACUAACAUGGACACAGCUAUUCUGGAUUAAGACAAUU